CCUUUUCUCCUCUUCGGAAGAGGAGGAAAUCCUUGACACUUUCUUCUGUCAGCAUGUUUCACAAUGUGGACUUUAUGUCCAUGGUGAAGGAGACCGAAGUUGUGCCUUCAUCAUGGGUCCAGGAUUGCAUGAGCUACUGGCCCCCUUGUACAUCCACAGAACAAUGCACAAGAGCAGUGAAAUGUCAAGAAGCACCUGAUGAAACAUGGGAUUUGUCUGAUGUGAACAUCAGGUACACUAGAGACUCAUAUCAAGAGGCUUGCCUUAAGCUUCCCAUGGCUGUGGUUCAAUCUGAUCUUCAGACUGAGGAGGAGGAUGACCGCCCCGCAUAUUUGAAGAGAAAAGGGGCACAAAUACGCAAAUGAAAGUGCGGAUGAGGAGCCAAUGGAAAAUUUUUCACGCAAGGGCCAGUCAAACACUGGCCCUUGCCAGGUUUGCCACCUGCACCAGUUAUCAGACCUCCAGAGGACAGAUGAGAGACACCUGGGAAUUCUGAUAGUCCAACAAUGAUUGAGCCAAACAUUCAUCAGCAGCAGCCAGUGCGUGAUCGUGUUACAUGUAAGCUGCAAAAGCUCCAGGCGAACAGAUCAACCGUGGAUGAGGUUCCAGAUUUGACAGACCAUCGACAUACAAUGUCCUCGCUGGAAUACUUGAGGAGAGUUGAGGGCCAACUUUCAGAUCAAGACUUGGAAAAGGACCUGGCCAAAUAUUUGGGACUAUCUGGAGGGAUCACCAAGAAGAAUGUGUGGAGAGGGGCCAAUGGGAAACAGGUUUUUGAACCUCUUGCCUUAAAGUGUUAUCGGUAAAUUUGCUUUCAAGGCCACUGCAUGGGGCAGAGAGGCAUAAAGUAUUUAUUAAAUAAAACAGGCCAGCAUGUCAAUUUUAUUGUCAGCAGGGAAUUUCAUUAUUACAAUACAGUUUAAGGCAGGACGAAUAUCAUGAACUGGAAAUAUUUUACAAAAAGCCAUUGAAACAAUUUUGUAGGGGAGUUGCAUAAACUGAGUAAUUUCUGGGAGUAUUUUCUCUCUUUCUGAUUUUUACAAAGGUGCUGUGCAUCGCAGCCGUUCUGAAGUUCCUGAUGUGGAGACACAUCAUAAAACAAUGGAUGCAGCUAGUCCCUAACAGAGAUGGAGGGAGAAAAAGGAGAGAGUGAGAAUUGAUGUAGAAAACUGCAUGCCUACCACAGCUUAAAUAGAAAACUUAAAUAGACAUAAUCACUACUUCUCAUUGUUACUGUGAUCAAAAAAUGUAAUUAACAUUCAAAUAAAAUUAAAGAGUCAUUCCUGUUUAAGUAGUAUUUUAGCAUCUUGAUACUUUGUUGGCAAUUGAUUAGCAUUAACUUUGGAUGGGUAGAAUUUGUAUGUAUAAAAUGUAUAAUAGUCAUAUUUAAAAUAAUUACAUCUGGUAAUUUUGUAUACAUUUCUUUAAUUUUGCAUCGGGCUACUUCUCGGGGGGAUUCUGGUAAAAUGCUGGCUGGCAAAGUCGGCUGAAUUCUGGUAGACAGAAAACGAUCCGAUGUACUUGGGCCGAUUCUGGGCAGUCGUUCAUUUUGAUUCCGGGCCGAGUCCGACACCCGACUCAAUCUGUUCAGGGGCUGCUUCUGGGAAGAUUCCUCAUUGCUAGCUGGGAUGCAGUCAAAUACUCAUGUUUCUAGUUUGACCAGCUGUUUUCAAGAACUGAAAUGUUGAAUUUGGUUGUCAAAUUGGCGGGUUUAUGAGCAACAAACUGUUUAAAUAGCUUAUAGCCUAUUGUUUGAUAUGCAAUGUGAUCUCUUAGCAGUCAGUGUUGAUGAGUGUCCUGAUGAGAAGGCAAACUUUUCUAGCUAUGUCAGGCAUUAUCAGCUCAUUGUUAUGGAUGUAUCCAAAUGAAUGUUAUUAGAAAACAGCUACUUUGCUGUUAUUACGGCUGCAGAGGUCGAGACUGUGUUAGCCAUAGCUAGCUGGCUAGCUAGCAAGCAAGGGAUAAGAAUGUUAUAUAAAUGAACAUUUUGACAAACAUUUUUAAAUGUGUGCUUAGUAUUGUGUUCUUUGGCAGCUGUGGAAUAAAUAGCUUAAACAAAC
Molecule: long non-coding RNA, 2060 nt
Organism: Oncorhynchus kisutch (coho salmon)
Lineage: Eukaryota; Metazoa; Chordata; Actinopteri; Salmoniformes; Salmonidae
Exons: 6
Source: RefSeq, a predicted model, not a curated record